Molecule: long non-coding RNA, 1808 nt
Organism: Cyanistes caeruleus (blue tit)
Lineage: Eukaryota; Metazoa; Chordata; Aves; Passeriformes; Paridae
Source: Ensembl
ACUAAGUCAGCUUCACUUAUUUUUCAGAUGGAAAGAGCAUGUUGAGGUGCAGCCAGCGGUAUCAGUGACUCGUCUGGUGUUGGUGCCCAGAGCACUGCAAGAUCAUUUCCAUGGCUUCCUGGGGUCACCACAGCCCUUGGGUCUGGCUGUGGCACGACGGAGCCGAGUGCCUGUCCCGACAGCCAGAGGCACAGCCCCAGCCAGGGCCCCUCGAGCUGUGCUGUGUUCAGUCUAAACUCAUCAGGCCCUGGACACUUGCAUUUUCAUUUGUGUUUGAAACGGAAAUAGUUUUUAGGGAGAACUCUAGCAACAGAAAAGUUGCUUCCCAGGCACAGCUUUUGCUCCCUGGGCAUCACCUUCCACAGCAGAUGGUCCUGGCGGGCUGGAGAGCAGCCAAGGGGCUCAGGGCACCUCCCAGGUGUUGUAGCCUGGCCGGGGCUCUGCCUGGCAUGCAGGUCUGCCUGCUGCAAGCUCUGUCCAGAUAUGCUUCACCAUCCCUUUCAAGGCUGGGGGCUUGAGAGGGGUCAGUUCUGUUCAGAAAACCAGGCAGGCCUCAAUAACCUCUUCUGAAUGUCUUAAGGAACUGUCACAACUUUACUUGGGAAGUCAUAUCAGCUGCCUUGGGAGGAAAACCUGAAACCUGAUGAGGGAAUCCUGAAAUGAAUGUCACUUGUCUACUAGGUGACCUGAAUUGGAAACACCUCCCUUCUUGGCAGUGCCAGCUGAGUUACAACCGUUGGCUAGUCAGAAGCCUUAGCAUACAAGAUGGCAUAGCUGAGCAGCGUAAAAAACAGGAACCAAAACCAAACCCUGCUGAAGCACUACACCCAGACAGCUCGAGUCUCACUAGCAAUGCAUCACGGGCAGCACAUAGAGAUUGUCACGUUGAUGCCGAGGUUUCCGUUGUCAGCAAAAAGGUGUGCGGUAGCUGUAUCAAAAACGAGGCAGUUGCUGCUGCGGAUGGCCACGGACACGCCGUCGUGGAUGGAGCAGGGAGACGCCUCCCAGGUCAGCCGGUGGCAGCUGCCGUGCAGCUCCAGUCUGUACUGAAAGUUCUCUGCCUGCUUACGGGUGCCAAUGAGCAGCACGGUGGCAAAAAACUGCUGGUGACCUUCACACUUCUCCUGUUUCUUCAGCACCAGCAUGAAGUGGUGACCAAAGCACGACUGCAUCAUCACCCAGUCCACUGCCCCUGGCAGGUUAAUGUCUGUGGCAAGGAAAAUGAUGUCUUCUCCCUGAAGGGUGGUAAUGCUUUUGUGGGCAUGCAUGAGGUGGGACAUGACGGCUUCCAAGGACCCCUCCCAGUCACAGGAGGUACCCGGGCACGGGCAGGAGUAGGGACGGUACUCACACAUGGCUUCAUGUUUUGGCUUUUCUGUGUGGUGGAGUGCCAGGGAGCAGCCUGUUGUGGCAUACUGGAAAGAGACCAAACAGAAGCCAUCAGGAAAGGCACCAGCACUCGUAUUCGCUGCUCCCACCCGUCAACUGGAAACACAGGUGAUCAGCCAGAGCUCUCGUGCUCAUUGCAAAUUUUACAUAACUUGUAUGUAGCCUGGAUUUAAGCUGAGCUUUUACUUAGUAUUUGUUUCCACUUAAAAUGGAUUCUUCUUGUAUUUUGUGGUUGUUUUUUCCUAACACAAGCACUCAGAUAAAAUGGGCUGUACGGCUGAGUUGUAGUUAGAUCUGCUGUUGCAGUUAGAUCUGAUCCGUCCAGAUCAGCUGGAGAUGUCCUGGCUCGGAUUUUCCUUUUCUUUAAAAAGAACAGAGGAUUCUAGUUUCAACACCUGGGGUGAUGGGUGGGUGUCCUC